AGGGCACAUGGGCUCUAGAGGGAGAGAGAGACCUGGUGAGUCAGAGCUGCCCGAGAGAGACCAGAAGACUGUUGUUGUAGUCGUGCCGGUCCCAAGAUAUGAGAGAGACAAGCUCCCAGAGUGAACUGCCACGGAGGACUGCACUGGAGCAAGAGGAGAGGGCCUGCGGCAGAUCUCCUUGAUGAGGAAUGUGUGUGCAAACUGGUACUGUAGUAACAAGCAAACCCACUGGGAUGCAAUCAAUGCUAGAAGACGCUCCAGUGACAGAAUGUGUUCUAGGAUACUUCCCAACCCCACACAGCUCCACUUCUGAGACACCGCUGGAGCUCUCUGGCCACGUCACUGCCGGCUUUCCACUUAGAAGGACAGACAGAUGUUCGGUCUGGCGUCAGGUUUCGUUGCUUCAACAGUAAGCUGCAGUUCAACACAUCCA
Molecule: long non-coding RNA, 433 nt
Organism: Mauremys reevesii (Reeves's turtle)
Lineage: Eukaryota; Metazoa; Chordata; Testudines; Geoemydidae
Exons: 3
Source: RefSeq, a predicted model, not a curated record